RNAcentral lists this long non-coding RNA (1477 nucleotides) under Ficedula albicollis (Collared flycatcher). Its description in RNAcentral is "lncRNA (ENSFALG00000019261.2)". Lineage: Eukaryota; Metazoa; Chordata; Aves; Passeriformes; Muscicapidae. The record is from RNAcentral.
CCCCCCCCCCCCCCCCCCCCCCCCCCCCCCCCCCCCCCCCCCCCCCCCCCCCCCCCCCCCCCCCCCCCCCCCCCCCCCCCCCCCCCCCCCCCCCCCUUUUUUUUUUUUUUUUGUUUUUUUUUUUUUUUUUUUUUUUUUGUUUUUUUUUUUUUGUUGUUUUUUCCACAGGGAUUCUCCUGGAGAUUCCCAGCUCCCCCUCCUGGCUCUGCCCAAGGGACGCUGGAGGUGACAAUUCCAGGGGUUUGGGAGCCUUUGGAAGGUCGGGCACAGGGAGAGGGGGAAGUGCUUCGUGUGUCUGAUCCCCUCAUCCCGGAAUUCCCGGGGAGAUGGAGGGAGCCAGCUCUGGAUCCAACUCUGGGAAUCCCUGGAGAGCCAGAGGGAUCCACCUCUGGGAAUUCCGGAAGAAUCAGAGGGAUCCAACUCUGAGAAUUUCCAGAGAGCCAGAGGGAUCCAGCUCUUGGAAUUCCAGGAGGGAUCCAGCUCUGGGAUUUCCCAGAGAGCCAGAGGGAUCCAGCUCUAGAUCCAACACUGGGAAUCCCCAGAGGGAUCCAGCUCUGGGAAUUCCAGAAGAGCCAGAGGGAUCCAGCUCUGGGAAUUCCAGGAGAAUCAGAGGGAUCCAGCUCUGGGAAUUCCAGGAGAGCCAGAGGGAUCCAGCUCUGGGAAUUCCAGGAGAGCCAGAGGGAUCCAACACUGGAUCCAACACUGGGAAUUCCCAGAGAGCUGAAGGGAUCCAGCACUGGAUCCAACACUGGGAAUUCCAGGAGAGCCAGAGGGAUCCAACACUGGAUCCAACACUGGGAAUUCCCAGAGAGCUGAAGGGAUCCAGCACUGGAUCCAACACUGGGAAUUCCAGGAGAGCCAGAGGGAUCCAACACUGGAUCCAACCCUUGGUGGCCCCAAGCAGGGCCUGGCCCAGCCCAGCUCCCCUGGUUGGGAUCCUGCCUAAAACCCCCAAAUUCCCGGAUUUCCUUCCUCUUCCCAAGCCUGGACUCCCAAACAUUCCAGAGGAGCCAACUCCAGCAUUCCCACUCCCUGGAUUCACCCCCAGGUGCCUCCCACUGACCCCUCUGUGUCCCAAACUGGGGGUGAUCCCAACAUGGAUUUUGGGUGUCCUGUGGGAUCGAUUCCCUGUGUGCAGGAUGGAUCCCAGCAACAUUCCCAGAAUUCCCAGUAUUCCCAGCCCUCUCUCCCUGCUCUCACACCUUCCAGAUUCCCCAGGGUUGGAUUUUGGAAGGACUGGGACAUUUGGGGUCUUUGGGGUCGCAAAUGGGGCUGGAGGCUGCGGGCAGGGAUUUGGGAUUUGAGAUAAAAAGGAUUUGGAAUCCCAGAGCAAUGUAGGGAUUUGGGAUCCUGGAGCAAUCCAGGGAUUUGGGAUUUGAGAUUAAAAGGAUUUGGGAUCCCAGCCCCCCCCCCCCCCCCCCCCCCCCCCCCCCCCCCCCCCCCCCCCCCCCCCCCCCCCCCCCCCCCCCCCCCCCCC